This 307-nucleotide ribosomal RNA is filed under the name uncultured Pseudomonadota bacterium. RNAcentral's name for it is "bacterial SSU rRNA". It matches the Rfam family "Bacterial small subunit ribosomal RNA", at positions 29 to 351 of the family's 1533-position model. The record is from RNAcentral. Lineage: Bacteria; Pseudomonadati; Pseudomonadota.
AACGAACGCUGGCGGCAUGCCUAACACAUGCAAGUCGAACGUGAUCCGGGACUUCGGUUCCGGUGAAAGUGGCGGACGGGUGAGUAACGCGUGGGAACCUGCCCAGUGGUAGGGGAUAACCGCGGGAAACUGCGGCUAAUACCCUAUGCGCCCUCAGGGGCAAAGAUUUAUCGCCAUUGGAGGGGCCCGCGUCGGAUUAGGUAGUUGGUGAGGUAACGGCUCACCAAGCCAUCGAUCCGUAGCUGGUCUGAGAGGAUGAUCAGCCACACUGGGACUGAGACACGGCCCAGACUCCUACGGGUGGCAG